This 84-nucleotide small RNA is filed under the name Arabidopsis thaliana (thale cress). Its description in RNAcentral is "ATSL257990". The record is from RNAcentral. Lineage: Eukaryota; Viridiplantae; Streptophyta; Magnoliopsida; Brassicales; Brassicaceae.
AAAAUCUCACUUAGUUGCUCUCUUUUUGUAUUUUCAACUAGAUUUUAAAACCCGCGGUAUACCGCGGGGACAAUUUAUUUUUUU